Long non-coding RNA from Felis catus (domestic cat), 1632 nucleotides. RefSeq lists it as uncharacterized. The record is from RefSeq and is a predicted model, not a curated record. The transcript has 2 exons. NCBI's taxonomy places the organism in Eukaryota, Metazoa, Chordata, Mammalia, Carnivora, Felidae.
GCUUAUAGUCUAACACAAGAGGCAAACUUCAUCAGCGUUCUGAGGAAGGAGAUGCCGUGCAUCAGGGGGCCGGCAGGUGGGUCUGGGAGGAUUCAGAUAGGUAGGAAAAUGGUGGUCAGAACUCCAUGAGGAAAAGUGGAGAGAGACACAAAGGAGGGCUGUCUGGGAGCACCCAGAAAGCAGUGUAGAUGCAGUGGGAGGUACCGUAAGAAAGGUUUAAGGAACUCUUAGUUUCCCAGGUGUUUCUUAGAUGGCUAAUGUCUACGUGUUUAUUGAUCUUUGCUUUUGGUUUUUCUUCUUACCGGGAAAAGCUUAAAUAUUAAAUUGGCCUUGGAACAGUUUUUUUUUUUAAAGGGCUGUAAGGCCCAACGGUAGGGAAAACAUAGUCAUAAAAUAACAGUAGAGUCCUUGAAGAAAGCAGGCAGGUACCAAAGGAAUUCUUGGCAGUAAAAUUUCCCACAGGCUGGUCCAGGGCUUCAUCACUGAUCCAUAGUCAGUAGGAUAAACAAGAUUUAUCUCUGGCCUCAUCAGAGUCUGAGACAGGGCAAAUUACUUCAAGUGCUUCCCUCUACAGGGUAAAAACUUCUUGUACUUCUCCUCAUGGGGCUGUGGUAACAAGGAUUAAAGCUAAAGUGGGUGGGGUUUUAAGCUCUGUGACUCAGUGAAACGUAGUUACCAGCAGGGAGAAGACACUUAGCUACCUUCAACCCCACCUGCCCUCCAGGCAACUAGAGAGGCUUUGCCCAAAGUAACAAAGGUAAGAAGUAGGUAAGCGGAGAUAAGAGCAAUUCCUACAUUACUUGCACUCACCUCUCUCUGGCCCCAGAAGAUGAGCAGUUUACACGAUUCAUAUAAAGAAGUAGAAAAAUGUAAAUAACAAACAACCAGGACCAGAGGAAAACUUAAAUCAGAACAGAAGAUCAACAUGGGAAAUAUAUUAGAACUCUGAUCUACAGAUAGAUUCUUCUCUCAGCUUCUGAAAGAAAGCCAUGGGUUUGGCUCAGAACUUCUUACAUCCAGAUCAGAAGAGAAGACACAUUCAAUCACCUGAUUCCUAUUAAGAAAACCCUGCCAGUUACUCAAAGACGACAAAGGCUCUCUGAUAUCUAGUUAUAAAAGAAAUGUCUGGCCAGUUACAAGAACAAAUCAAAACAUCAAGAUUCAUACAAGGGCUGUUUUUAGAUCUGGACACGACGCCCCCCACAGCUUUGAUGACAACAGAGCAAGUUUCUCCGCCUACGCAAGCCCUGGGCAGAGCCACCGUACCGCUUACCUGUACCCAGUGCUGUUCCGGCCAACCACCAGAUGCUUGGGCUGCUCCUCACACUUAUAAAUGUUCAAGUCGUUCUCGGGGACCAGGUCCACAUCGUGGAAAAUAAAGCAGUCCCAGUUUUCAUCCUUGAGAGCUUCUAGAUAGCCCACAUUCAAGAGUUUGGCUCGAUUAAACUUUUUACUUCCAGCCUAUAGAUACAGAAAUUAAAACUUGAAAAGCUCCAGAGAUAAGGUUUCACACCAUGCCUCUCUUCAGUUCAGAGGCAAGAGCUGGAAUUAUUCUUUCCAAAGCACAAGAAUAUACUUGUGACAUGAAGAUCUAACAGAGUAGAUGUGAUCAUAAAAGACCACUUGCUUGUG